Molecule: microRNA precursor, 52 nt
Filed under: Marmota monax (woodchuck)
Lineage: Eukaryota; Metazoa; Chordata; Mammalia; Rodentia; Sciuridae
Source: RNAcentral
CGUUUAGUGUAAGUAUAUCCCAUGCCAUCUUUGGGACAUAUUUAUCCUGAAA